RNAcentral lists this transfer RNA (72 nucleotides) under Camelus bactrianus (Bactrian camel). It matches the Rfam family "tRNA". From Rfam's summary of the family: Transfer RNA (tRNA) molecules are approximately 80 nucleotides in length. Their secondary structure includes four short double-helical elements and three loops (D, anti-codon, and T loops). RNAcentral also lists the same sequence under 2 other names. The record is from Rfam by way of RNAcentral. Lineage: Eukaryota; Metazoa; Chordata; Mammalia; Artiodactyla; Camelidae.
GAGGGUACAGCUCAGCGGUAGAGUGCGUGCUUAGCAUGCACAAGGUCCUGGGUUCAAUCCCCAGUAACUCCA